Molecule: ribosomal RNA, 465 nt
Filed under: uncultured bacterium
Lineage: Bacteria
Description: partial 16S ribosomal RNA
Rfam family: Bacterial small subunit ribosomal RNA
Source: RNAcentral
CCUACGGGUGGCAGCAGUGGGGCAUAUUGCGCAAUGGGCGAAAGCCUGACGCAGCGACGCCGCGUGAGGGAUGAAGGUCUUCGGAUCGUAAACCUCUGUCAGCAGGGAAGAACGGUCACUGUGCUAAUCAGCAGUGAAUUGACGGUACCUGCAAAGGAAGCACCGGCUAACUCCGUGCCAGCAGCCGCGGUAAUACGGAGGGUUGGAGCGUUAAUCGGAAUGUCAGGGCGUAAAGCGCUCGUCGGCGGGAUGUCAAGUCAAGGGUGAAAUCUCCGCGCUCAACGUGGGAACUGCCGUUGAAACUGGGAAACUGGAGUGUGUGAGAGGAUAGUGGAAGUCCAGGUGUAGGAGUGAAAGCCGUAGAUAUCUGGAGGAACAUCAGUGGCGAAGGCGACUAUCUGGCACAUAACUGACGCUGAGGAGCGAAAGCGUGGGUAGCAAACAGGAUUAGAUACCCUAGUAGUC